GUACUGUUGAGGAGUCCCAAAAUAGGACGAAACAGCUGUCCAGUAC
RNAcentral lists this non-coding RNA (46 nucleotides) under Trichobilharzia regenti. Lineage: Eukaryota; Metazoa; Platyhelminthes; Trematoda; Strigeidida; Schistosomatidae. The record is from RNAcentral.